Long non-coding RNA from Trifolium pratense (red clover), 569 nucleotides. RefSeq lists it as uncharacterized. The record is from RefSeq and is a predicted model, not a curated record. NCBI's taxonomy places the organism in Eukaryota, Viridiplantae, Streptophyta, Magnoliopsida, Fabales, Fabaceae. The transcript has 2 exons.
AAAGGAUAGACAUUAAAAAAUAAAAUGAAAAUAACAAAAGGUUGCCCUUAUCAAUUGAGCAAGCCAAACAGGUAAAUAUGAAAAAAAAAGUGAGUAUCUAUGAUACAUUUAAUAUUGAUCUAUUUCUAAGAAGUUUUCUUGAAGAUCUAUAAAUUCAAAAAAUUGAAACAAAUAAACAAAACAUACUACUUUUACAAUAUAAAGUGAUCGGUACAUUUCUAAUUGGGCAAGAUUAGGAGAAAAAACAUGGCUAAAAUUAUUAAAUUUGUUUAUUUAGUGAUCCUCUUUAUUUUCUUAGUUGUUGUUGUAACUGACAUUACUGCACAGGGGAAGCUAAAUUGCGAGAAGGAUUCUGAUUGUUUCAUGUUUUCUUGUGUACCUGCUGCUUUUCCAAAAUGUGUUUCUUUCGAAUGUAGAUGUCCUUUUUCCGCCACUAUUGAAAAAUAAACUCGAUUGUAAAAGAUUAAUAUUGUAAUAUCUCAAAUAAGGGAGUUAAAAUUUCAUCUCAAAUAGUCAUAAAAAGGCCAUUGGAGAUAUUGUUAUAUAUUAAUAUUUUAUUGUGUUCCUUA